UACGGAGGGGGCUAGCGUUGUUCGGAAUUACUGGGCGUAAAGCGCACGUAGGCGGCUUUGUAAGUUAGAGGUGAAAGCCCAGGGCUUAACCCUGGAAUUGCCUUUAAGACUGCAUCGCUAGAAUCGUGGAGAGGUAAGUGGAAUUCCGAGUGUAGAGGUGAAAUUCGUAGAUAUUCGGAAGAACACCAGGGGCGAGGGCGACUUACUGGACACGAAUUGAGGUUGAGGUGCGAAAGCGUGGGAGCAAACAGG
Molecule: ribosomal RNA, 252 nt
Filed under: uncultured bacterium
Lineage: Bacteria
Description: partial 16S ribosomal RNA
Rfam family: Bacterial small subunit ribosomal RNA
Source: RNAcentral